RNAcentral lists this unclassified non-coding RNA (19 nucleotides) under Mus musculus (house mouse). Its description in RNAcentral is "oocyte_clustered_small_RNA13463". The record is from RNAcentral. Lineage: Eukaryota; Metazoa; Chordata; Mammalia; Rodentia; Muridae.
GAUGGAGCCCAGCAAAGAG